RNAcentral lists this ribosomal RNA (253 nucleotides) under uncultured bacterium. Its description in RNAcentral is "partial 16S ribosomal RNA". It matches the Rfam family "Bacterial small subunit ribosomal RNA", at positions 524 to 776 of the family's 1533-position model. The record is from RNAcentral.
UACGGAGGGUGCAAGCGUUAUCCGGAUUCACUGGGUUUAAAGGGUGCGUAGGUGGGCAGGUAAGUCAGUGGUGAGAUCUCUGGGCUUAACUCAGAAACUGCCAUUGAUACUAUCUGUCUUGAAUACCGUGGAGGUCAGCGGAAUAUGUCAUGUAGCGGUGAAAUGCUUAGAUAUGACAUAGAACACCAAUUGCGAAGGCAGCUGGCUACACGAAUAUUGACACUGAUGCACGAAAGCGUGGGGAUCAAACAGG